CCUACGGGAGGCUGCAGUGGGGAAUAUUGGACAAUGGGCGAAAGCCUGAUCCAGCCAUGCCGCGUGUGUGAAGAAGGCCUUCGGGUUGUAAAGCACUUUCAGUGGGGAAGAAAGCCUUGGGGUUAAUACCCUCGAGGAAGGACAUCACCCACAGAAGAAGCACCGGCUAACUCCGUGCCAGCAGCCGCGGUAAUACGGAGGGUGCGAGCGUUAAUCGGAAUUACUGGGCGUAAAGCGCGCGUAGGCGGUCUGAUAAGCCGGUUGUGAAAGCCCCGGGCUCAACCUGGGAACGGCAUCCGGAACUGUCAGGCUAGAGUGCAGGAGAGGAAGGUAGAAUUCCCGGUGUAGCGGUGAAAUGCGUAGAGAUCGGGAGGAAUACCAGUGGCGAAGGCGGCCUUCUGGACUGACACUGACGCUGAGGUGCGAAAGCGUGGGUAGCAAACAGGAUUAGAUACCCGGGUAGUC
RNAcentral lists this ribosomal RNA (465 nucleotides) under Vreelandella stevensii. RNAcentral's name for it is "partial 16S ribosomal RNA". It matches the Rfam family "Bacterial small subunit ribosomal RNA", at positions 338 to 795 of the family's 1533-position model. The record is from RNAcentral. Lineage: Bacteria; Pseudomonadati; Pseudomonadota; Gammaproteobacteria; Oceanospirillales; Halomonadaceae.